UUUUAAAUAAGAUAUUAAUAUUAAUAUUAGUUAUUGAAAAUAUUAUUUUUAUUGUUUAUAAUGUUACUAUUUUUUAUUUUAUUUAUUUUUUAAAAAUUUUUUAUUUUUUAAAUUUUUAUUUUUUUAAAAAGUUUUUUAUUUUUUUUAAAAAGUUUUUUAUUUUUUUUAAAAAGUUUUUAUUUUUUUAAAAUUUUUUAUUUUUUAAAGUUUUUAUUUUUAAAAAUUUUUAUUUUUUAUUUAAGUUUUUUUAUUAAAAUUAUUUAAUUUAAGAGAAAAUAUUAAAAAUUAAUUAUUAUGCUUAUUUAUUCAUAUAUGUUAUUAUAUAAUUUUUUAAAUUAGUAUAAAAAAUUAAGUUAAUUUAAUAAAAAUUAUUAAAUUUUAAAAAAUAAAUUAAUAAAUAUUGGUUUUAUAAAUAUUUAUAAAUCAAUAUAUAAUUAUAUAUAUAUAUUUAUUAAUAUAAAAUUAAUAUUUAUAUAUAUAUAAUUAUUUAUAAAUUAAUAUAUAAUUAGAGAAUAAAAUAAUAUAUAUAUAUUUAUAUAAUUAUAAAUAUAUAUAAUAUUAUAUAUAUAUAUAUAUAUAUUUUAUUUUAAAUAAAUAAAAUAUAACAAAAAAAAAAAAAAAACUCAUUUUAUUAUUUAUUAUUAAUAUUUAAAUUAAUUAAUAAAAAAAUAUUUAUAAUAUAAAAUAGUUAUAAUAUAAAAUAGUUAAUUUUAUAUUUAAAAUUUUAUACUAAAUAAUAAAAUUAUAUAUUAAAUAAUAUGAAUAAAUAUAAAAUUAUAUAUAUAUAUAUAUAUAUAUAUAUAUAUAUAUAUAUAUAUUAUUUUAUAUAUAUUUA
RNAcentral lists this ribosomal RNA (835 nucleotides) under Apis mellifera carpatica. RNAcentral's name for it is "12S ribosomal RNA". Lineage: Eukaryota; Metazoa; Arthropoda; Insecta; Hymenoptera; Apidae. The record is from RNAcentral.